Molecule: RNA transcript, 3926 nt
Organism: Calidris pugnax (ruff)
Lineage: Eukaryota; Metazoa; Chordata; Aves; Charadriiformes; Scolopacidae
Gene: SLC9D1
Gene name: transmembrane and coiled-coil domains 3
Exons: 15
Source: RefSeq, a predicted model, not a curated record
GCUUAAAGGUGCCGCUCGGUAACCGGCGCCGCGGGGGGAGCGUGGCGGCCGUCGGCAAGGACGGGGCUCCUCCGUGCCUUCCGUCAGCCGCCGCCGCCUCCCCCUUACCCGCCUUCUCCCGGCCGCUGCCGGCUUCCCUCAGGGAGAGGUACCGGCCCGGCGCUGCCUGGAAGCCGGCUGAAGGCAAAGCAAGGAGCGGCCCUCCGCUGCCAUCGCCCUCAGCAUGGUGUGUGUACUGGAGAUGCAGAAAUCAUGUAGCAGAAAGCUUUGAGCAGUUGUGGAUUAUCAGUUUCUCCCAACAGCAAUAAAAAGUGAAGAAUGAAGGCGGCUGGAUUUAUUUCCCUAUGGACGUUGGUUUCACUGCCUUGUGGCCAGUUAGUAAAUCCUGCAGAACACGAAGAUGUAGUGAAGCAUGCAAUAAAGCUGCACCGUGGGAAAGGAGCUGUUAUCACUCAGAGAAGGCAGUGGGUGUUGGAGAGCUGCAGAAAACUGUCUGGUCUUCUUCGCCAAAAGAACGUUGUUCUCAACAAACUAAAAAAUGCCAUAAGAGCAGUUGAGAAGGAUGCAGGGCUGUCAGACGAAGAGAAACUUUUUCAGGUGCAUACCUUUGAAAUUUUCCAAAAGGAGCUAAAUGAAAGUGAAAACUCAGUCUUUCAGGCAAUCCAUGGUCUCCAGAGAGCUCUACAGGGUGAUUACAAAGAUGUUGUAAAUAUGAAAGAAAGCAGCAGACAGAGACUGGAAGCCUUGAGAGAAGCUGCGAUUAAGGAAGAAAUGGAAUACGUCGAACUCUUAGCAGCAGAAAAACAUCAGGUCGAAGCCCUUAAGAACAUGCAGCAUCAAAACAAAAGCUUGUCAAUGCUUGAUGAAAUUCUAGAAGAUGUCAGGAAGGCAGCUGAUAGACUGGAAGAGGAAAUAGAAGAGCAUGCCUUUGAUGACAACAAAUCUGUAAGAGGUGUUAACUUCGAAGCGGUUUUAAGGGUGGAAGAAGAUGAAGCCAACUCCAAAAGAAAUGCUUCAAAAAGAGAAGUAGAGGACGACUUAGGUCUCAGUAUGCUUAUUGAUUCUCAGAACAAUCAGUAUAUCCUUACCAAGCCCAGAGAUUCGACCAUUCCUCGUGCUGAUCAUCAUUUCAUAAAGGAUAUUGUGACAAUAGGAAUGUUGUCUUUGCCAUGUGGCUGGCUGUGCACAACAAUAGGAUUGCCAACUAUGUUUGGGUAUAUAAUCUGUGGAGUACUCUUAGGACCAUCAGGACUAAAUAGUAUCAAGUCUAUUGUACAGGUGGAGACAUUAGGAGAGUUUGGUGUCUUCUUCACUCUCUUUCUAGUUGGUCUGGAAUUUUCUCCUGAAAGAUUAAGAAAGGUAUGGAAAAUAUCUUUGCAAGGACCUUGCUACAUGACAGUUCUGAUGAUUGCCUUUGGUUUGUUAUGGGGACACUUGCUCCAAAUUAGACCAACACAAAGUGUCUUCAUUUCCACUUGUUUAUCUUUAUCAAGCACACCAUUGGUGUCAAGGUUUCUUGCAGGUAGUGUUCGAGGUGAUAAAGAAGGGGAUAUUGACUACAGUAGCGUGCUGCUUGGCAUGUUGGUGAUGCAGGAUGUGCAGCUUGGAUUAUUUAUAGCUGUCAUGCCUACACUUAUUCAAGCAGGAGUGAGCACAUAUUCCAGCAUUUUCAAGGAAAUACUGCGAAUACUGAUACUGAUUGGCCAAAUUCUCUUUUCUCUGGCUGCUGUUUUUCUUCUAUGUCUUGUUAUAAAGACUUAUCUCAUAGGACCGUAUUAUCGCAAGUUGCAUGCAGAAAGCAAAGGGAAUAAAGAAAUCCUCAUUCUAGGAAUAACUGCAUUCAUCUUCCUUAUGUUAACGAUCACAGAGCUGUUGGAUGUUUCAAUGGAGCUGGGAUGCUUCUUAGCCGGAGCUCUGAUCUCUUCUCAGGGUCACAUGGUUUCUGAGGAGAUUAUGUCCUGUAUUGAACCAAUACGUGACUUCCUUGCCAUCAUUUUCUUUGCAUCCAUAGGACUUCAUGUUUUUCCCACAUUUGUAAUAUAUGAACUCACAGUCUUACUAUUCCUUACGUUGUCUGUCGUCAUAAUGAAGUUUGUCUUGGCAGUGCUUGUGCUUUCUCUGAUUCUUCCAAAGACGAGCCAGUAUAUCAAGUGGAUUGUCUCAGCAGGACUGGCACAAGUCAGUGAAUUCUCUUUUGUUCUGGGAAGUAGAGCACGCAGAGCAGGGAUCAUAUCUCGGGAGGUAAAUUAUGGCUGCAGAGAUACAAAAACUGACCUCACUUUCUAGCACUAGCUGCUUUCUCCUCUGUAUCUCUGCUCACAAAAACACUGUGCUGGCGCUGCGAGGUUUUCAUUGUGUGAGCAAGUGGGCUGCAUAAUGCUGGAACCAAUUCCAAAUGAAGCACGUGUGAAAAACUUACACAAUGCUGUUCACUUGUGUAGGUUUAUCUUCUUAUUCUGAGUGUGACUACUCUAAGCCUUUUACUUGCCCCUGCCCUGUGGAGAGCUGCGAUUAUGAAAUGUGUUCCGAGACCUGAAAGACGCUCAAGUACUUGAUUUAGACUUGCACAUGCACAGAAUACAUCUUCUUACAAGGAAUAUCUUCGUUGCUCAUUGUAUUUCUAUGCACUCAGAGAACAAGAGGUUUUGAGUAGUCAGUCCUCUUAACGUGCACUCGGUUAUAAGCCUUAUACUGACCCUAAAAAAUAAUUCUGUAAUUUGAAUUGCACACCUUUCACAAAAUUUACUUUCUCUCUGACAGAUUAGAAUCUGCCAGAGUAUUUGUUUGUGAUCAAAUCAAUUACUCAGAGCGUAAGUUAUUUCUUUUUCAAUUAUAGCAUCAUGCAAACUGUGUUGAUUAUUUGUUGCCUGAAUGUGCCUUUUAAUUUUCAUCCUAUUUUGUUACUGCUGGUUCAUCACCAGAUUUUGUUUAAAAAGCAAAAAAUAUUAUGGUGCCUAUGGUAUCUUCUUUCACUAAAUGACAUGAGUCAUUUUCACAUUUAGGGGUUGAAUAUACUAAUAUAAAAUUAAUCACAAAACACAUUUCUAACAGUGAGUACAAGUGUAGUCCUCUACACAAAGAAGAGGUUUAACUGUUUAGCAUCAAACUGGUUUAAGCAGUCAAAUCCAUAUUUCAAAUGAUGCAGCCAAUAUUGUAUGAUAUUUUAUUCCAAAUUAUAGCAUAUGAUGUAUUUUCUUAUAGUGAUAACUUUUAUUUGUGUUAGUUCUUGUAUUUAUUUACAUACUUGACUAAAAGUUGAUGGUAAGAAAAGGGCGUAACUUAAAUUAUAUUUAAAGACUGACAGUUGUCACCCAUUCUUUUGCUAACUGCUUUUACAGUAAUUGUUUACAAGGUUUGUUUAUUUUAAAUCAAGACUAAAUCUAGUAAAACUGGGAAGUCUAAUUCCAAGCAGAUGUGAAAAACAUAUCAGUUCUGUAACUUUGGACUGACACCAUGCCAGAUUUGAAAUUAUUCUGAGUAAAUUAAUUUGUACAAAACUGGAAAUGGCAGACUUGGAUGUGUAUUUGGAACUCCACAACUUUAUACUUUGGAUUUGCAUUGAAUAAAUUGUUAGUCUCUUUAAAAUAUCAUGUUAUUUUGAAAAACAGUGUUUUGAAUGUGAUCCUAAAUGUGUUUUGCUCUUUAAAAUGUUCUGUGUAGCAGGAUAAGCCUUGUAAAAACCCAUUCUUUUAAGUGUCGUAGAGAAAGCUUGCUCAUAGACUGUAGUCUACUCUGACAAACAAUUUAAAAAUCAUCUUGAGGUUUAUCUGCUAAAAACAAUACUAUUAAAGAUAUAUUAACACUUUAGGUCAGUAUCAUACUGUUAUCUGAAAUAACUUUGGUACCCACAAAAAUGGUUAGAAAAAUGCAUGUUAAACAGGUUUAAAUUGCCAAUUAAAAUGAAAGCUGUCCUCCAAGUAGCAAAA